Anthonomus grandis grandis is the source of this 657-nucleotide long non-coding RNA. RefSeq lists it as uncharacterized. The record is from RefSeq and is a predicted model, not a curated record. The transcript has 2 exons. Lineage: Eukaryota; Metazoa; Arthropoda; Insecta; Coleoptera; Curculionidae.
ACUCGGGGCUGUCCGCAAUACGUAGAGUGUGAGCGUUGUGCCAUUAGUGCUCAGUUGAAAGGCCCAUCACUAGCUAAAUUUUGCUUCCCUUCAGGCUCACUAAGUUGUUAGUCUCUUUCUGUCCAUCUCCGUAGUGUGUUGCUGGCAGUGUUGCAAAUCCCAGUGUUUCAAUGACGAGCUAAACUUCUGCUGUCCGACCAAAUUACAGUUUCUUGUCCUCACUUUAAUAGAACAAAGUACAGAUAAAAGGAAAACAUAUGAAAAAGUUGUGCUAAUUCUCGAAUGCGUCCACGGUUUUAUUGACGUCACUCAAGAACGUAUAAUUAAAAUAAAACAUAAAAAAAACUUCAAAAUGAUGGACGAAAUUCUCACAUUAAAGAACUGGAUACUCUUCCUCUCCACAUAUUUCGGUCUGAUUUUUCUACUGUUCUGUGGCAUAUGUAUAAAAGAUUUGUUUACCUUAUUAUUCGAAGGCACCAGAAACUAUGUGGAUUUACCAACGCGACGUAGUUGGUUACAUGAGCAAACGCAAAAAACUGAAUUGUACAGGCAAAGGCCGCUCCCAAGACUAGAAACAGAAGACUAAAUUAGUUCUAAGCACAGGCUUUUUGUAAGGGCAAGGGUUUGGCAUUGUCAAUAAAAUAAUUUUAAUAAUAA